RNAcentral lists this ribosomal RNA (333 nucleotides) under uncultured bacterium. Its description in RNAcentral is "bacterial SSU rRNA". It matches the Rfam family "Bacterial small subunit ribosomal RNA", at positions 28 to 363 of the family's 1533-position model. The record is from RNAcentral.
GAUGAACGCUAGCGGGAGGCCUAAUACAUGCAAGUCGAACGGUAAGGUCCCUUCGGGGAUACACGAGUGGCGGACGGGUGCGUAACGCGUACGAAACAUACCUUCAACAGGGAGAUACCUCCGGGAAACUGGAAAUAAUACCCCAUAGUAUUGAGAUAUCGCAUGAUAUUUCAAUUAAAGCUUUGGCGGUUGAAGAUUGUCGUGCGUCUGAUUAGCUAGUUGGUGAGGUAACGGCUCACCAAGGCGACGAUCAGUAGCUGGUCUGAGAGGAUGAUCAGCCACACUGGAACUGAGACACGGUCCAGACUCGUACGGGAGCAGCAGUAGGGAAUA